CCUACGGGGCACCAGUGGGGAAUAUUGCACAAUGGGCGCAAGCCUGAUGCAGCCAUGCCGCGUGUGUGAAGAAGGCCUUCGGGUUGUAAAGCACUUUCAGCGGGGAGGAAGGCGGUGAGGUUAAUAACCUCACCGAUUGACGUUACCCGCAGAAGAAGCACCGGCUAACUCCGUGCCAGCAGCCGCGGUAAUACGGAGGGUGCAAGCGUUAAUCGGAAUUACUGGGCGUAAAGCGCACGCAGGCGGCCUGUCAGAUCGGAUGUGAAAUCCCCGGGCUCAACCUGGGAACUGCAUUCGAAACUGGCAGGCUAGAGUCUUGUAGAGGGGGGUAGAAUUCCAGGUGUAGCGGUGAAAUGCGUAGAGAUCUGGAGGAAUACCGGUGGCGAAGGCGGCCCCCUGGACAAAGACUGACGCUCAGGUGCGAAAGCGUGGGGAGCAAACAGGAUUAGAUACCCUCGUAGUC
RNAcentral lists this ribosomal RNA (463 nucleotides) under uncultured bacterium. RNAcentral's name for it is "bacterial SSU rRNA". It matches the Rfam family "Bacterial small subunit ribosomal RNA", at positions 338 to 795 of the family's 1533-position model. The record is from RNAcentral.